GACGAACGCUGGCGGCGUGCUUAACACAUGCAAGUCGAACGGACUGAGUUGAUAGCUUGCUAUUGAUGAAGUUAGUGGCAAACGGGUGAGUAACGCGUAGGCAACCUGCCCUUCAGAUGGGGACAACACCUCGAAAGGGGUGCUAAUACCGAAUGACGUUUCCUAGUCGCAUGACCUGGAAACCAAAGGCCGGGCAAACCGGUUCACUGAAGGAUGGGCCUGCGUCUGAUUAGCUAGUUGGUGGGGUAACGGCCCACCAAGGCGACGAUCAGUAGCCGGUCUGAGAGGUAUGAACGGCCACAUUGGGACUGAGACACGGCCCAGACUCCUACGGGAGGCAGCAGUUGGGGAAUCUUCCGCAAUGGGCGAAAGCCUGACGGAGCAACGCCGCG
RNAcentral lists this ribosomal RNA (392 nucleotides) under uncultured bacterium. RNAcentral describes it as "bacterial SSU rRNA". It matches the Rfam family "Bacterial small subunit ribosomal RNA", at positions 28 to 401 of the family's 1533-position model. The record is from RNAcentral.